RNAcentral lists this ribosomal RNA (315 nucleotides) under uncultured bacterium. Its description in RNAcentral is "bacterial SSU rRNA". It matches the Rfam family "Bacterial small subunit ribosomal RNA", at positions 29 to 341 of the family's 1533-position model. The record is from RNAcentral.
UUGAACGCUGGCGGCGUGCCUAACACAUGCAAGUCGAGCGGCAGCGCGGGAGCAAUCCUGGCGGCGAGCGGCGGACGGGUGAGUAAUGCUUGGGAAUCUGCCUGUUAGUGGGGGACGAACCCGGGGAAACGUCGGGCGUAAUACCGCAUACGCACUACGGUGGAAAGACCGGGGACCGGCAAGGCCUGGCGCUAACAGAUGAGCCCAAGUCGGAUUAGCUAGUUGGUAGGGUAACGGCCUACCAAGGCGACGAUCCGUAACUGGUCUGAGAGGACGACCAGUCACACCGGAACUGAGACACGGUCCGGACUCCUA